CACGCCCUAAACGAUGGAUACUAGGCGUAAGAGGUAUCGAUCCCUCUUGUGCCGCAGCUAACGCACUAAGUAUCCCGCCUGGGGAGUACGGCCGCAAGGUUGAAACUCAAAUGAAUUGACGGGACCCCGCACAAGCGGUGGAGCAUGUGGAUUAAUUCGAUACUAACCGAAGAACCUUACCCAGGUUUGACAUCAAUGGAAAACCCAAGAGAUUGGGUCCUCUCCCACAAGGAGACCAGAAGACAGAUGU
Molecule: ribosomal RNA, 250 nt
Filed under: uncultured Armatimonadota bacterium
Lineage: Bacteria; Bacillati; Armatimonadota
Description: uncultured Armatimonadetes bacterium partial 16S ribosomal RNA
Rfam family: Bacterial small subunit ribosomal RNA
Source: RNAcentral